CAAACCGAUUCACAGUCGAGUCCGGAAGUUUCCUCGAUAUCUGAUGGGCUCUGAUGAUGGGAGCUCAGUGGCAGCAACGACAGUCUCGUCGGAUGAGACCAACAGUUGCACCAUGCUUUACUAUGUCGCCCCUGCUGUCCUGGGACAUAACCCCCUUAGUCUUAGACAGAAUAUAUACUCUCCCAACGAAUGUUUCCUUUUGCUAAUACCGAUUGGACUACAAAAGCAGGCUUACCAAUACGAAAAGCAGCUCAAAUGAUUCAUUUGGCAGGCCAAACGCAGAGAUUAAGUACUCUUCAACGGGCACCUGAGAAACCAGCAAGGAACUUAAACGAGAGCCAAAAGAUGGGCUACAUCUACAGCCUAAAAGCAACCUUAUAGAGACAGACUAUCGAUCUAUGCAUCCAUGGCAUCGUCUUAUACUGAACAAGGAUUGAAACCAUUUGAAAGGCGAAGAAAGAGUGAAAGAAACUCAUUAAGGACACCAAUUUUAUAGACAAUGAAAUUCCGAUAGUAAACACUACCGAUUACGCCUUCAUUUUUCAGAUCAACAUCAGAAGUCCAUUGAGCGAAAUCUGGGUCAUUUGGGUAUCAAAGAAGUCAUUGCCAUGCCAGAAUCAUCCCUAUGCUCCAAUACCGAUAGCCCAUAGUCCAGCGAGGGCUAAACAGUUUGUAAAAGACUUCAGAGACUAUACUAUACCCUAAGGACAGUCUGCACUUGGCCAGAUCAGACAUCUUCGCCAGGAGGCCGCAAAUCAUGUACGCCCAAUUAGACACUGCCUAUUUUUAAUCCCGACAAA
This 800-nucleotide small RNA is filed under the name Drosophila pseudoobscura pseudoobscura. RNAcentral's name for it is "GA31596". The record is from RNAcentral. Lineage: Eukaryota; Metazoa; Arthropoda; Insecta; Diptera; Drosophilidae.